AUGAACGCUAGCGGCAGGCUUAACACAUGCAAGUCAGGGGCAGCAUAAUGGAUAGCAAUAUCUAUGGUGGCGACCGGCGCACGGGUGCGUAACGCGUAUGCAACCUACCUUUAACAGGGGGAUAACACUGAGAAAUUGGUACUAAUACCCCAUAAUAUCAUAGAAGGCAUCUUUUAUGGUUGAAAAUUCCGAUGGUUAGAGAUGGGCAUGCGUUGUAUUAGCUAGUUGGUGAGGUAACGGCUCACCAAGGCGACGAUACAUAGGGGGACUGAGAGGUUAACCCCCCACACUGGUACUGAGACACGGACCAGACUCCUACGGGAGGCAGCAGUGAGGAAUAUUGGUCAAUGGACGCAAGUCUGAACCAGCCAUGCCGCGUGCAGGAUGACGGCUCUAUGAGUUGUAAACUGCUUUUGUACUAGGGUAAACUCACCUACGUGUAGGUGACUGAAAGUAUAGUACGAAUAAGGAUCGGCUAACUCCGUG
RNAcentral lists this ribosomal RNA (486 nucleotides) under uncultured bacterium. RNAcentral's name for it is "bacterial SSU rRNA". It matches the Rfam family "Bacterial small subunit ribosomal RNA", at positions 29 to 507 of the family's 1533-position model. The record is from RNAcentral.